Molecule: long non-coding RNA, 388 nt
Filed under: Phoenix dactylifera (date palm)
Lineage: Eukaryota; Viridiplantae; Streptophyta; Magnoliopsida; Arecales; Arecaceae
Description: long non-coding RNA (PDAC_LNC007796)
Source: RNAcentral
GAGCCCGGUGUAAAACAACGAGUUGGGUAGUGAACUCGCAAAACUACCGUACUGUAAUCUUGGAUUAUAGUGGAAAUUCCCAAAGAUGAUUUGGGGAGUGGAUGUAGGAGCAGUGGAAGCUCCGAACCACUAUAAAAUCUUGUGUUUGCGAUUGACCUUUCUCAUUCCCCCUUCUUUACUUUAGUGCAAAUACUCGUGUGUUUUAUUUUUAAUUAGUCAAAAGUUUUUAAAACACCCAAUUCACCCCCCUCUUGGGUGACCAUCUCUGGGCAACAAGUGGUAUCAGAGCGGGUGCUCUGUGUAUUUCUUGAAAGACCUAACCGUCUUAGCCAAAGAUCUAGAUGGCAACACCCUUUAACAAUGUUCCUGCCGAGGGCAAGCAACCAAU